GAUGAACGCUAGCGGCAAGCCUAACACAUGCAAGUCGAGUGGCAGCAUAAUUAUUCGCAAGAAUAAUGGUGAGACCGGCGCACGGGUGCGUAACGCGUAUGCAACCUACCUUUUACUGGGGUAUAGCCCGGAGAAAUCCGGAUUGAUCCCCCAUAGUACUGACAAUUCGCAUGAUGAGUCAGUUAAAGUUUUGGCGGUAAAAGAUGCGCAUGCGUCCUAUUAGCUAGAUGGUAAGGUAACGGCUUACCAUGGCUACGAUAGGUAAGGGGCCUGAGAGGGUGGUCCCCCACACUGGUACUGAGACACGGACCAGACUCCUACGGGAGGCAGCAGUGAGAAAUAUUGGUCAAUGGGCGCAAGCCUGAACCAGCCAUGCCACGUGCAGGAAUAAUGUCCUAUGGAUUGUAAACUGCUUUUAUUUGGGAAUAAACCCCCCGACGUGUCGGCGUCUGAAGGUACCAAAUGAAUAAGCACCGGCUAACUCCGUGCCAGCAGCCGAGGUAAUACGGAGGGUGCAAGCGUUAUCCGGAAUCAUUGGGUUUAAAGGGUCCGCAGGCGGGCAUAUAAGUCAGUGGUGAAGGCCUACAGCUCAACUGUAGAACUGCCAUUGAUACUGUAAGUCUUUAAUUCGGUCGAAGUGGGCGGAAUGUGUAGUGUAGCGGUGAAAUGCAUAGAUAUUACACAGAACACCGAUAGCGAGGGCAGCUCACUAGGCCUGGAUUGACGCUCAGGGACGAAAGCGUGGUGAUCAAACAGGAUUAGAUACCCUGGUAGUCCACGCUGUAAACG
This 789-nucleotide ribosomal RNA is filed under the name uncultured bacterium. RNAcentral describes it as "bacterial SSU rRNA". It matches the Rfam family "Bacterial small subunit ribosomal RNA", at positions 28 to 808 of the family's 1533-position model. The record is from RNAcentral.